UCCGGUUUGUCACCGGCAGUCACCUUAGAGUGCCCAACUAAAUGCUGGCAACUAAGAUCAAGGGUUGCGCUCGUUGCGGGACUUAACCCAACAUUUCACAACACGAGCUGACGACAGCCAUGCAGCACCUGUCACUCGGUUCCCGAAGGCACUCCGCCGUCUCCGGCAGAUUCCGAGGAUGUCAAGGGUAGGUAAGGUUCUUCGCGUUGCAUCGAAUUAAACCACAUGCUCCACCGCUUGUGCGGGCCCCCGUCAAUUCCUUUGAGUUUUAACCUUGCGGCCGUACUCCCCAGGUGGAAGGUGGGGAUGACGUUUU
RNAcentral lists this unclassified non-coding RNA (316 nucleotides) under uncultured Gammaproteobacteria bacterium. Its description in RNAcentral is "contains 16S-23S intergenic spacer region". The record is from RNAcentral. Lineage: Bacteria; Pseudomonadati; Pseudomonadota; Gammaproteobacteria.